UAUUCCAGUCACAUUAAAGUGAAGGGCUCUCCAUCAAGAAAGACAGUGAAAGCCCUAAAUCAAAGUCAAAGGGGAUGGGUUCUGCCCUUACAGCAAUGUUCCUAUCAGGAAAGCCUCACCUGGUUUCCAAAUUUUCCAGUCAGGCUGAACAUGGGAGCUUGUCAAUCAGUCCUAGACACCUCUGGGACAGUGACACCGAGAGUAGAAGCCACACCCCUAAAGCACUCCUUAACCCAGGUGGGAGCAUGGGUCUGAAGACAGAGACUGGAAAUGAUGCCAAGGGAGGCAUUCCCAUCUACUCCUUUGAUCUAAGAGGUCCUGAGACUAAAGAAUGUAAUUCUGCUGACCACAUAAAGUUCCAGGAUUCCCAGCACACAACACACUUGAUGAUACCCUCAAAUUCUGUGGCCCACAGCUCUUCCAUACCUUCCCAUAGCCAGACUAUUGCUCAGAGUCCACACCUUCUUGGAAGACAUCAGCCCAAGUGGUGCAUGUGCGUUCAAGCUGCAGAAGCUGUAUUGAAAGGUCAGGUUGAAACUGACGCCUCUUUCCAAAUCCAGAAAAUUCCUAGCAGCAAGAUAGAGAGAAGCAAAACCCUGAACACACAGAUAUCUGCCUUUGGAAUGAUCCAAAACUUUUCCCACAACAGCCCCCAGCUCCAGCCAACCAGGGCCAUAUGUGCCUUUCUAGACUUUCAGGAAUGUUAGGCUCUGAAAUGUAAGGGCAAAAUGUCUCCAACCCUGCACCCAGUCCAAGUCUUUCUGGAGUCAGUUGGCCAGACAAUGUGCCAAAAAUUCCAGAUGAUGGAAACUUCUCUCUUGGCAAAGAGGUCUUCGGUGUUCUUGGGGUACACUCCCCAAAUCCCCAAAGAUUGUUUUCAGAGAUGUUUUAAUAGCAGCUGGCAGAGAAACAGUGAGAUCUUCCCCUUGGGAUAGCACAGCUGACCUAAGGCCCAGCAUAGAGAUGACUAGGAUGAUCCCAGGCUCUCUGUGAAUAUUCCCAUUUUCCCUUGACCAGUUGAGAGACCUCUCAGUCCUACCAGGGAAGACUUUUCCAAAGCACUGUCUCACAGAUGGGCUCCAGUUGGGAAUUUGAGUUUGGGAUGGUUCUUCAUGUCAUGAAAUAAAAUGUCCAUCUAAAUAUCAAACGUGGGAUCUAACUCUCAGAUGAUACCUCAAAAGAUGAGAGGCUGGGUGUGCCCUGGGGAGAUGGUGAAUUACAGUCAGGUAGCUCAGCUGUGCUGCCUGCUCAGCAGAAGACAGCACCCCUGCCAUGUGGUGAGCACCCUCAGCAGGAAGAUGACAUGGGCUUCAGGUCAUUCUUUCCCAUAUCUUAGGGUCCAAACUGCAACAGGGUUUGGCAGAAUCUUAGUGAACCAAUCAGACCCAACAGAAGGACUAACAGCCAGCUCAGUCAUAGCCACCACUACCUUUCAACCCUUCCAGAAACCCCAUUAGCCUCAACACAGCUUCUGCAGUUUGACAUGGCCUGAGGCAGGGGCCCUUGAAUAAAUCUGGGGCAUGCAGCCAGGUGUGUUCUCUUGAUGUGAACUCUCUGAAAUCUCCCACUCUACACAGUCCAGUCCAGUCCACAAUAUGGGACUUGCCCUCGGGAAACCUCAAGUUUCCCCAGGUUCCAUCAUACCUGGUGGGCCUAAUGGCAAAUCCUGAUGCUGUUGCUUCCAUUAAACUGCACCAUCUUGAAGUGAGCAGGUUUGGGAAAGGAUAGGCUCUGGAGGCAAGUUGUACUAGACAGAAGACUUCUGCAGAUUAUUUGAUGAUUGAUAUUUUUUUGAAUAUGCAUUUUGAUAUGUUGAGUGUCCAACUUUGCAAUGUCCAGUUCUAUCAGAUUAUAUCAUGAUACCAUCAAGCUAGUGGUUAACUCAAAUGAAAACGCUCCUCCAACUCCCUCACCCAACUUAUCAUUAAUUAAAAACAUGCCAGGAAUUGGCAUUAAUAAUACAUAAAAUCUGCAAAUUUUAGAUCCAGACUCUAUGAUUCCAAUGACAACCCUCCAGCUCAGUGGGAAUAACCUAGCCACUUCUCACUCCAACUUGACACCCUUCCUGAAUGCCACGGAACCCAGCAUACUUCCCCAUAGUGCUCCAAUGGGGCCUGCUUUGAUGUCACACAAUCCUAUGAUAAGUCACGAGUCCUAGGAGCCUUGGCUGGUAUCACAAUCCUAUGAUGGGUCAUGAGUCCCAGGAGCCUUGGUUGGCAUCUCAAGGACAGAAGAAUUUCUCUAGGUGUUUGUAAGCCAGGAGGCCCAGAGUGUCUGACUCCUUUGCUAUGCUGGGGAAUAGCAUGACUUCAGGGUUUGUGGACCCAGAUCUGCAGCAAUCCAUAUGUGAGUUUGAUCUGUCUUCCGUGAUUCCAUCACAGAUGUCCAACCAGACAGUGAACUAUUUCCCUCAAGGGAAAAUCUCAGGCCAUAAACAAUGCCAGGGUUUUUGCAGAUGGAGGAGGUGACAGGCAGAUAAGUUCCACGGUGGCACUGGCAUUGCUUGGUCUAGGGUCAGCACAAGCUCUGAGCAUCCUUUGGGUACAAGUGUAUCCUUUCCA
RNAcentral lists this long non-coding RNA (2561 nucleotides) under Homo sapiens (human). RNAcentral describes it as "non-protein coding lnc-MAST4-4:1". The record is from RNAcentral. Lineage: Eukaryota; Metazoa; Chordata; Mammalia; Primates; Hominidae.